AUGGGUGGGGCCUGUGCCGCCCACACCCUGGGCUCGGAUCCCUCCUCGCCCUUCUGCCUCCAGAGAGCAGGUGUCCCCACAGGGCCGGGCGCUCGCAGGGACCGUCCUGUCGAGCCGUGCUGCAGAGGGGCGAGCGGGGGCUCUGGGGCUAGGCAAGCCCUCUCUUGCUGUCAGGAGAGUCGGGUUGGGGGACGGCACGGGAAUUCCCAGGGACCACUGGCCCUUCAUGGCUACGUCCCAGCCCCUCGGACAGUGCCUGCAGCAGAUGGAUGGGGAGAUGGCUGGACGAACAGGCGGAUGGAGGCAGGACACAAGGCCACGCCUCUGGGGGCAGAGCUGGCCCAUCAGACCUGGUUUCUGUCCAGCUUCAGCUCCCCUGGUGGGAGCCGGGUGGGUCUCUGCCUCCCGCGGGCUCCUGUGGGCUUGGGGUGCUGGGGGCUGGACGCCCUCAGUCGUGUGCAGCUCAGCUCGGUGCGGGACUGCGGCGGGUUCAGAAGUCGGCCCGGUUCCUGCAUCCCUCUGUCUCCAGGGUCAGUGUCGGGAUCGGCCAAGCCACAGGUGCCACUGGGGAUCCCUCUGCCCGGGGUCCUCGAGUCCCCCCACCUCUCAGCCUCAGACCCCAGGGGAGGGCCCCAGCGACGCCCACCCCUCCCAGUGAGGUCACACCCAGGUGUGGCCGGGGCCCGCACCCCAAACCCGAGGCGCCGCUUCCGUUCCUUCCCCAGGAUCCCCCGCGGCCCUGCAGUGAUGGUCCCACCACCCACUGCCACCCGGUGCCAGGCCCGGGACGCCCCAACCUGCAAGCUGCCGGCCCCACUGGCCUACAGUCUCCUUCUAGAACCUGGGGCCCUGCUCCCUGCUCCCCCCAGCUCCUCGAUGUCCACGGGCCCCUGGGACCCUCCUUCGUGGCCCCAUCCCACAGCCUGCUCCCCGGGCACCCACCUCACCCCCCGCGGUCACCGAGACAGCUGUGGAGCCCCAAACCCCCAGGACCCUCCAGUGCCCCGGUGGCCGCGGGAUUCCUGGGCUCCCGCUGCCCGGGACGCACUCGGGCUCUGCCAGGAAAGCCAAGCGCACCCCCCUUCCCGCCCCCACCGCUCCCCUGAGCACAAAGCACGUCAGGUUUAUUUAAAUAAAAAUUAUAAUUUAUACAAGACUUCUUUAAACAAACAAAGUUUUCUUAAAAAAAUGUUACAGGGGAUUUUUCAUUGGUUCUUCAUACAGUACAAUCCUUUCGUUGAACAAAGAUGA
RNAcentral lists this long non-coding RNA (1251 nucleotides) under Felis catus (domestic cat). RNAcentral's name for it is "lncRNA (ENSFCAG00000053468.1)". Lineage: Eukaryota; Metazoa; Chordata; Mammalia; Carnivora; Felidae. The record is from RNAcentral.